GAUGAACGCUAGCGGCGGGCCUAAUACAUGCAAGUCGAACGAUAGUGUUGUAGCAAUAUGACACGAAAGUGGCGCACGGGUGCGUAACACGUAUGCAAUCUACCUUUAAUUGGAGGAUAGCCUCGAGAAAUCGGGAUUAAUACUCCAUAACAUAAUUGAAUGGCAUCAUUUAAUUAUCAAACCUCCGGGGAUUAGAGAUGAGCAUGCGCAACAUUAGCUAGUUGGUAAGGUAAUGGCUUACCAAGGCUACGAUGUUUAGGGGGUCUGAGAGGAUGAUCCCCCACACUGGUACUGAGACACGGACCAGACUCCUACGGGAGGCAGCAGUAGGGAAUAUUGGGCAAUGGAGAAACUCUGACCCAGCCAUGCCGCGUGCAGGAUGA
RNAcentral lists this ribosomal RNA (383 nucleotides) under uncultured bacterium. RNAcentral describes it as "bacterial SSU rRNA". It matches the Rfam family "Bacterial small subunit ribosomal RNA", at positions 28 to 411 of the family's 1533-position model. The record is from RNAcentral.